UAACGCCUGCCCUGUGGAACCCUAAACGGCCGCGGCACAAAACCGUGCAAAGGUAGCACAAUCACUUGUCCCUUAAAUGAGGACCCGUAUGAAUGGCAACAUGAGAGAAAUCCUGUCUCCUAGGGUCGGCCAAUGAAAUUGAUCUAUCAGUACAAAAGCUGAUAUGUUUAAGCAAGACAAAAAGACCCUAUGGAACUUUAACAAAUUGAUUAUACACAAUAAACACAAUAGUUUCAGUUGGGAUAACUUUAGAAAAAAUAAACCUCUAACACCAUCAUAGACCAACCAGUCUAUCACACCACAUAUGACCCAGUAACACUGACUAACGAAACAAGCUACCCUAGGGAUAACAGCGCCACCUUCUCAAAGAGUCCAUAUCAACAAGAAGAUCUACGACCUCGAUGUUGGAUCAGGGUACCCAGACGGUGCAGCAGCUGUCAACGGUUCGUUUGUUCAACGACUAACACCCU
RNAcentral lists this ribosomal RNA (470 nucleotides) under Chamaeleo arabicus (Arabian chameleon). Its description in RNAcentral is "partial 16S ribosomal RNA". It matches the Rfam family "Bacterial large subunit ribosomal RNA", at positions 1853 to 2597 of the family's 2925-position model. The record is from RNAcentral. Lineage: Eukaryota; Metazoa; Chordata; Lepidosauria; Squamata; Chamaeleonidae.